This 66-nucleotide transfer RNA is filed under the name human gut metagenome. It matches the Rfam family "tRNA". Rfam says of the family: Transfer RNA (tRNA) molecules are approximately 80 nucleotides in length. Their secondary structure includes four short double-helical elements and three loops (D, anti-codon, and T loops). The record is from RNAcentral.
UCUGUAGCUCAGUUGGUAGAGCAACGGACUGAAAAUCCGUGUGUCGUUGGUUCGAUUCCGACCGGA